Molecule: long non-coding RNA, 351 nt
Organism: Homo sapiens (human)
Lineage: Eukaryota; Metazoa; Chordata; Mammalia; Primates; Hominidae
Gene: PWRN2
Product: Prader-Willi region non-protein coding RNA 2
Source: Ensembl
UUGAGAGGAGAUUUCAGGACGUUUACCCAGCCCUUUAGUGGGGAUCUGUCCGGGACUGUGCAGUCUGAACCUGCAACUGUAAAAGAUUGCCUCUGGAUGGAUACCUAUGGUCUGGCACUAUCAAGAUGGUAUCAGUCUGUGGCUCCAGGUGGACCAUAACUCAAGAUACACAUGGGAGUAAGACACAGACUCCCUGAAUCUGCACACCUCCUGCAUGCCUCCCAUGUUAUGCAUUAUGCUUCCCUUUCUUUAAAAACCUGCCCUCAGUCCAACCUUGUGAACUGGUUUAUACAGGUGUCAUCCAGCCAUUUCCCUACUGCUGGAUUUGAAAAAUAAAGUCACUUUCCUUUC